GCCGGUGCAGCACGACAGGUCGUGCAGCCGUUUCGUAAUCGGCAGGUAGCGGGUUCGAGUCCCGCCGCCGGCUC
RNAcentral lists this transfer RNA (74 nucleotides) under Paractinoplanes brasiliensis. RNAcentral describes it as "Actinoplanes brasiliensis tRNA-Thr". It matches the Rfam family "tRNA". Rfam says of the family: Transfer RNA (tRNA) molecules are approximately 80 nucleotides in length. Their secondary structure includes four short double-helical elements and three loops (D, anti-codon, and T loops). Lineage: Bacteria; Bacillati; Actinomycetota; Actinomycetes; Micromonosporales; Micromonosporaceae. The record is from RNAcentral.